Molecule: long non-coding RNA, 2188 nt
Organism: Heterocephalus glaber (naked mole-rat)
Lineage: Eukaryota; Metazoa; Chordata; Mammalia; Rodentia; Bathyergidae
Source: Ensembl
CAUCCUUGCCCGGGCUGGGACCUUGGGGCCUGCUUGCUGUUUCCUCUCUGGCCUGCAGUUUACAGAGUGUCUUUGGCCAGCACAGUACUGGCUGCCGAACAGGAAUGGCAGCAAAAAAGCCCCAAACAAACAAAACUCCACAGAACUGCCCAGCCCUGCCUCCUUCUCCCUCUCCUUAUUUGCCUUUUGUCCCUUUCCCUGUCCUAGCUCCACCCAUGACUCUCUCCACCUCUUGGGGGUCAUCUGAUCCAGGCCACUGACUCUGACCAGGGCUCCUUUCCCCUAGCCAGGAGGAUCCCUACCCUCACUGAGCACUGGAUGAGACCUUCUCCCGGCCUCGGACAGUGAGAUUUGCACCCAGAUCUUCUGCCAUAGAAUCGAGUGUCCCGCCCAGGGUGACAGGAAAUGAAUACACUCAGUCCGCAAGUGGCUGAUGGAGGAAGUGACCAGAGGACUCAGCCUCCACUCUGCUCCCUGUGGCCUCCCUGUCUGAUGGUGCAGUCAAAGAAGCUGGAAGCUCUACCCAUUCUUCAGACAAGAAGGUCCUGGCUACUGACCAAUUUGCUGCCAGCUGGAAAGAUGACAUCAACUUGAAUGAUCAGAACAGAUAGUUCUCAUUGAACAGAACAAUUUUCUUUCUAUUGAAGAAAAUUUAAUGGGACAUAAAAAAAAUUUAGUGGGACAACUAAUAUAGAACUUAAAACAAUCUACAAGAACAAAAGUACUUCUAUGAGAAUUCAACAACGUAUUUCUAAAGAUUAUCUGAGAAUAAAAAUUAUUUGACAGCCAGGGAUUUAGCUCAGUGAUUCUGCUGCCUGCCUCACAAGUGCAAGGUCCCAAGUUCAAUCCCCGGUACAAAAAUAAAACGAAACAAAACAAAAAUAAUUUGGCAAUUUAUAAAUAUUCCAAAUUGAAAAUCCAGUAGAUGAAGUCAAAAGUAGAAUAAAUAAUUCUGGGCCAUAGAGGAAGUCAUUUAGGAGAUUAAAUGGAGGAAUUAUCUUGUAAUAUUGGACAAAAGCAUAAAGAAAUUGAAAUUAUGUGUGAAAUGGUAAGAUCAAGGCUGUCAAAGUUAGAUCUUGUAUCUGAAUAUUUGUUCCAAAAGAAGAGAAAGGAAUAUAAGGAAUAAAACCAAUAAAGAAAGAAACAAUAGAAGAAAACUUGUGACUUAAAGAAAUACUUGAGUAUUAAGAUCAAAAGGAAGCUGGGCUGGUGGUGCAUACCUGUAAUCCUAGCACUUGGGAGACAGAGGCAGGAGGAUUACUGCACAUUCAAGGCUAGCCUGGGCUACAUAGUGUGUUCAAGGACAGCCUGAACUACAAAGUGAAACCUUGUCUCAAAAAACAAAACAAAAAAAGAUCAAAAGCAUUCUUUGAAUGUCUAGCAAGAUUAAUAAAAAUAAUAUCUAUCUAAUUAUACUCUGCUGCAAUUUAAAAUAAAAAAGUGAAAAUUCUAAACAAAUCCAGACAUAAAAAACAACCAGAAACAAAAUUAGUUAUCUGAAAAGAAAAAAAUAAUCAGAAUGUCACUGGAUGUAUCUUCUGCAACUUGGAAAACUCAAGAACCAUGAAACAAUACUCAUAAUUUCUGAUCUAAGAUUCUAAGCCAAAAAAUUAUUUACAUAUGAGUGAAGACAUUUUCAAAUAUAUAAAGAUAUCUAUGAACCCUUCCUUCCUCCUCCCCUUUCCUUUCCUUUCCUUCCCUUCCCUUCCCUUCUCUUCCCUUCCUUUUCUUUUCCUUUCUCUUUCCCUUCCCUUUUUUACUUUCUCCCUUUCUCACUUCUUCCCUUCCUCCCUCCCUUUCUUUUCUUUUUCUUUUGCAGUGUUGGGGAUUAAAACCAGUGUGCUCAGCCUAGGGAUUUAGCUCAGUGGUUUUGCUGCCUGCUGUGCAAACGCAAGGACCCGAGUUCGAUCCCUGGUAUAAAAAAAAAAAAAUCGCCAUAGGUCUAAUCCAUAUUACUACACUCUUUUGACAGUGAAAUCUGGGUUCAAAUUUAACUUGCAAAAUGAAAGUAUCUAUUAGUAAAUUUGAGUUACAAAAGCUCCCAAAUACAGGGAGAAGAAACAUGAGUAGUUACCCAGGGUCAGGUAGAGAGGGGCAUUUAGGAAGUAAAGGGACAACUUUCACCCUCCACUCCCUGCACCUCAUUCUUCUUUAAUUUUUGAAUUCUUUUUAAAAACAAUGACACUGC